AUUCCAGUCUAUCAUCUUCGUUCACUAUGUCAGAUCGAUGCCAUGUUUUCUGUCCCCCUAUCGGUAAAUAUUGGAACGCAGAGGGCGCUGACCCGUCCCUGAAAAUUCUACAUGGUGGCGCUCCAAAAAAUCUGUACUUUCAAUUUCGCUGUUGUAUCCAAGUGCUAUUUAAAAUGCUGUUCAAAAUGUACUUUAUCUUUGACACUAUUUCAUCUAGAGAGUUCCUUUCGCUAUGGAAUCCCAGCCGGAAAUGUCUUCCGCAUCUACACAGUCAACCACCGUAAAUCUUAACGACCUGCAAAGUUACCUCGUAACCUUCAACAAAGAAAUCGAGUCAAGCGACCAAAAUACAUUUGAGUUCAAAACUGUGCCAGCUGGAACAAGUAUAGGAGACGACAAGCCAAAGGCCGAAAAAAAUGAAGAAACAGGAGGAACAUCUGCAUGCAGAGUUGAGGAUAUUGGUUAG
Molecule: long non-coding RNA, 466 nt
Organism: Saccostrea cuccullata (small rock oyster)
Lineage: Eukaryota; Metazoa; Mollusca; Bivalvia; Ostreida; Ostreidae
Exons: 3
Source: RefSeq, a predicted model, not a curated record